AAGAAUGGUCCCUAAUAAUCACUAAUUGAAGUUAAUGUUUUAUCUUUCCCACCAAUAUUUUCCAAUAAAAUUUACAUAUUCCCUCCAAAUGUAAAUCACGAACUAAAUAUAAUUUCAGGAAAAAGUUUUUGAAAGGUCUUCCAUCGUACUGCUCAGACAUCACUACCCAACUAAUAGUUAUCUCACCAACCCGACCACCAUCCCUAGUUACCCAACUCAUCAUUCUGAUUAUCUACCGUAAAAGAACAUUCGGAGAUGCAGCAAAUAAAUAGAUAAAGAGGGUAAGCCACACAUUAGUAAAUUAAGAAAAAAUUGAUUUUUGGUGGCCUCGAACUGAAAGAAAAUCGAGGUACGAUCUCUCAGAUUUGGUCUUCUGGUAAUUUUUUUACUUUAUUCAUUCACUAUCAAUGUAGAUUCUAUUAAUUUUUUGUGAUGGACUUCUUGCUCUCUUACUGUUCAUUAUGGAUUUUCUAAGUUCUAUUCACAAUGCUGGAUGGGAUCUGAUUUUACAUGAGAGUGGUGAAUUUCAGAGAUAUUAGUGACGUAGUUUGAGAUUCUUUUUCCCCUUUUUGGUAUCUAUUUUUCAGUUACUGAUUUGUAUUCAUUGUUAUAAAUCUGGGAUGCUUUAAAAUGUAAAAUAAUAGUUAAGAAGAACACUUGGUGCUUAUACAUAUGAAAUUAACAAAGAAUUCUCUAAAUUUUUAUGUUGUAGAGCUCAUCUACCUUUAUAUUGGGAAGGAAAGCUAACAAAGUCUUGGUCUCCGAGUCUCUAUUAUUGCCUUUGGCCUUCCGGUCCUCUGUUGAAACUAACAUUGAAUUUUUCUAUUUAUUGAUGUAGUAACUUUUUCAUGCAUAUAUGGAUAUCUCUAGUUUUUGUGUGCGCCUUUAUUUCUCUAGUUUGAAGGGUCGCUAAGGAAAGUAAUCUUUUGUGUGCGCCUAUAAAAACCCAUUUUGUUUUGAUCACCAAAUUGACUCCUAACAUUUAAACAAACAGGAUAUACUAAUUGCUACUAGACUUUGUUAGAAUAUUUGACUCAAAUUCUUGUUUGAUUCUAAUUGACAAAGGAUAGGUACAGUUGAUCAUCUAUCAGUCUAUCUCUAAGAAUUGGAUCGAGGUUGUAGCUAUUAUGUAGAAUACUUCUUAUUUGUCUUAAAACGUGAUACUUAUUAUCUGUAUAUUUGUUAUUGGGAAUACGAAGCAGUCUGUUAAACGAACAAUUUCAGCUGAAGAAACAAUAUCAAUACCAGGCUCGUCAAUGCAUCUAUAGCUUAUUAAGGUGUUGGAAGAUAUAUUUUGAUAACAUGAUGUCUUUAGGAUUUGAAUUGAGUCCUGCAGUGAUAGGUCUCUUAGCCCCUUUUCCUUCUUUAAUACAGACAAUGCUAUAUCCAACCAAAAUAUAUACUACAUUAAUGAUAUUUUACCUUUUCAGUUCUUGAUGACUUGAUCUUCUUCUAAUAUGCUUUAUGUAAUCAACUCUUUAAUAGUGUUGUAGACCAACAAGAGGUUAAAGUUUGUUAUUGUCCUAAAGAAGAAAAUGAUUUAAUUAAAGAUCUUAUUGGUAUUCAAGCCCGUGGUUGCUCUGCUUCUCCUCACUAACUUCAAGUUAGUUCACCCAUUUAUUUCCGUUCUUUUUUUUUGUGCUCUAAGAUGGUAAUAUAAUUGUUAUGGUAUUAUUACAAUAAUAUGCUACACUUAUAUUGUAAUACUCUGAGAUUAAGAAGCCCAUGGAUUAAAAAGUGGACUUAAUAAUUUGAAGUAUUUAUCGUUAUAAUGAUUUCGAAUUUCUUUCUAAUAAUAAUAAUCUUUUAAUGAUCAUUAUUAAGGUGAUCGAUAAUAGAGUGCGGUUUAACACGGAAAAAAUACUAAAUAGAUCAUAGAUUACAUGUCCUUGUUUCAGUCCUUAUAGUAUUAGUGUUGCCUCUAUGUCAUUGAAAUAGUUGUGGUAAAGGAGGUUCAUUUAUUUCUUUGGUUGGAUUCAGUAUAUAGUUCAAGUAUAUUUUAGUCUCCCCAAAGUGAAUUUACAGGAUGAUAUAUCAGUUUCUAUAUUUGUUUAUAUCCUUCAGACAAUUUGGCAUCAAUAAAUGAUUCUUUUGAGAGUAUUUAUCCUUAUUUCUCUCCCUAAAGCAAGUCUCAUGAGGUUCACAAGACUAAUCUUUAUUAGAACAUUUGCUUUUGAGCAGUUGGUUGUGAAGUUGUUUGUUUAAGAUAGCAAAGUGCCAAAGCAUAGGGGUAGAAGUUCCAGGGGUGCAAGGAUUAAAAUAUUUUCUUCUAAGAUAUUUUUGUUGCUUCAUAUUUUGCGAAACUUAAGGCAAUAUUGCUAAGCAAAUAUUGCUAAACAUUGUCUUUUACAAAAGAUUAUCUAGAAGUGUUUGAAGUUGGGAGCUACUUUGACAAUAAAUUUAUGAGACUUAUAAUUUUUUUUUACAUCAGAUUUCAUCUUUUGACAUUCGCUCAGUUUUAUUAUUUCAGGUCAUAUAGUAUGAUGUUUGAAAGUUUAGCAUGUAGAAAGACUUUAAUGAUGAAAGAGUUGUAAACUAGUGUUUAUGUCAGCUUUUAUAGAUUGAAUUCAUCUUCCUACUUAUUAAUUCGUGUACCAGUACCUCCCCUGCCACCAUUGUCUACCAUAUUUUUAAGGAAGCCACCUUUCCGCCGCAAGUAGAUAAAAAUGUAAAUUACAUGCAUAUUUCAUGCAGUAUAUACUUAUUAUUGAUUCAAAAAAAGUCAGUCAAUAUUUAAUAGUUGAAACCCAUUUUUUAAACUUCUUUUAAGAUUAAGAUACCAUUGAUAAUUCCAAUUGUGAACGACCUAUGAGACGGAGCAGUCAUAGGCCAUACAGUGAUAAUACAUAACUACAUUCAAUAGCAUUAUAGGAAUUAUUUGGCAGCUGCAAGAGUUUGGUCUGCUUUUAGGCAUAGAAAGUCCAUGAACUUGUAUAGAUUGGUAUUUAAUAAAUAGUUGGUUCGCAGCUGUGAUAAUUUACCUUUUCACUACUCGGAUUGUUGGUCUGAUGGUGUUGUGAAUUAUACAGUUACUUAAUGAUAUCUUUUAUGAAGCAGUAAAGUUACUUUUUCUAUGUCAUAUGACUAACUAGGUAUACUAGGAACCAAUUUAUACUUUAGAAGUCAAAUUUCUUUAAGGAGUUCAUGCUUUCCUUUUGGAUAGACCUCAUUGAAAUAGUAUGGAACUUAGUUCUUGCUUUAGUAGAUGUUUUCAUUCAAAUUUGGUCUCUAAUUAUGAUAAAGAGCUUAUCUAUUUUCUUGCCUGAAGAAGUGGGUGAUUUAUUAUCAGAUUCUGCUAGGAAUGAGUUAUUUGUUACAGCUGCCACUAACUAUUGUGUCACUGCUGUAAUGUUUAUUGUCACUAUGCAUUAUUCAUCAUAGCUAUUGCCAAGUUUAGGAUUAUGUGAUAUCUCAAAGAUCGCUAAUAUUAUUGUAGUGUUAUGAAGUGCUUAAAUGGUUAAAUGUAUGUUUUGGUUGAUAGAAGGCAAAAAUAACUCCCUAGUUUUUUUUUAUUGAGAUGGUAACAUAUAAAUUACUCCUGCUAAUUAUUUCUCAUUAUCACACAAUAUUUACUUGGAUUGGCAUUUUGAAAGGCAUUCUUUAUGCUUCCCUAAGACAGACAUGCAUGACUGAAAUACAUCUUAGGAAAGUCAUGUCUUUAAAAGGAACUUUAAUGUAUUGAAAAUCUCUGCGGAUCAUUCGUUUAAUCUCUGGUAUUGAAGAGAUGUAGUUCAUGAGUUUCAUCAAAGCAAUAGAUUUUCUGUAGUUCUUACCUUUUAAUUCUAUCAAUAUAUCUAACAUAAUUUUACAGUGUUUGAAUUCAUGCAACCAUUAGCUUGAAUUGAGUUUUGUCAACUUUGAUUUGCUUUGUGUAUUUUUGACAAAUAAAAUAUCCAGUCCCAUAUCAUCUCUCAUAUUGAUGUUCUUGUUAUUUUGUUAUUCCAUUUUCUCAUUCCUUAAUGUCUUUCAAAUACAUGUACAUGACAAAGAUCUAAACUGACGGGUUAUCCCCUGUAGUAUGAUGUAGUUGCUCCUGACACUGUCUCGGUCAGUUCAUGAUUAUCACAGUUUCUCUUCCCAACAUUGCAUGAGCAUUGUGCGUUCUCUUUUACUAUAUGGAAGAAUUUACUUAUCUAAUUAUAAUUUCAAGCAAGCUCCAACUAGUCUGGAAUUGAGGAUUAUUGUCUUUUAUUUAUUGUCUUAGUUAUUUUAUAAUUUCAGGUCAUACAGUCUGAUGUUCGAUAAUUUAGCGGGUGGAAUAUUACAAUAUGAUGAAGAGUUGCAGAAAUUAUUUGAAGAUUGUACUUCGUAAAGAUUAGUUAUAUAAUGACAUUAGCUAUUUAGUUCAAACAAUUUAAGUUUAUUUUUUUAAGUUAUUGUGAUAUUAAUAUUUUGG
This 4396-nucleotide long non-coding RNA is filed under the name Nicotiana tabacum (common tobacco). RNAcentral describes it as "long non-coding RNA (NTAB_LNC007967)". Lineage: Eukaryota; Viridiplantae; Streptophyta; Magnoliopsida; Solanales; Solanaceae. The record is from RNAcentral.